Molecule: long non-coding RNA, 255 nt
Organism: Helicoverpa armigera (cotton bollworm)
Lineage: Eukaryota; Metazoa; Arthropoda; Insecta; Lepidoptera; Noctuidae
Exons: 8
Source: RefSeq, a predicted model, not a curated record
UGUCGCUCAUCAUCCUGCUUGACAUUCGCUUUGGGUGUUGUUUCAACGUCAAGCUGUUUAGGCCACAGAUGUUUUGCAAAUUGUACUGGUGAGGGGUGUAUAUCACUGUGUGAGGGAACUGAUUGUCGGACUGAGUGUCACGCCAAAGCUUGUCAAGCACACUGUGCGGGCGCUGGUUGUCACUCUGCGUGUUAUGGUCGACUUUGCACUCACAGCGAUGGUACUCCUACUCCUUAAUAAAGAUAUUUAUAACAG